This 754-nucleotide ribosomal RNA is filed under the name uncultured Alphaproteobacteria bacterium. RNAcentral's name for it is "bacterial SSU rRNA". It matches the Rfam family "Bacterial small subunit ribosomal RNA", at positions 38 to 840 of the family's 1533-position model. Lineage: Bacteria; Pseudomonadati; Pseudomonadota; Alphaproteobacteria. The record is from RNAcentral.
GGCGGCACGCCUAACACAUGCAAGUCGAACGAAGUAGCAAUACUUAGUGGCAGACGGGUGAGUAACAUGUGGGUAUCUGCCCUUUGGCCUGGAAUAACACGAGGAAACUUGUGCUAAUACCGGAUAAGUCUUUACGGAGAAAGCUUUAUGCACCAUUGGAUGAGCCUGCACUUGAUUAGUUUGUUGGUGGGGUAAUGGCCUACCAAGACUGUGAUCAAUAGCUGAUUUGAGAGGAUGAUCAGCCACAUUGGGACUGAGACACGGCCCAAACUCCUACGGGAGGCAGCAGUGGGGAAUCUUGCACAAUGGAGGAAACUCUGAUGCAGCGAUGCCGCGUGAGUGAAGAAGGCCCUUGGGUUGUAAAGCUCUUUCGUCGGGGAAGAAAAUGACUGUACCCGAAUAAGAAGGUCCGGCUAACUUCGUGCCAGCAGCCGCGGUAAUACGAAGGGACCUAGCGUAGUUCGGAAUUACUGGGCUUAAAGAGUUCGUAGGUGGUUGAAAAAGUUAGUGGUGAAAUCCCAGAGCUUAACUCUGGAACUGCCAUUAAAACUUUUCAGCUAGAGUAUGAUAGAGGAAAGCAGAAUUUCUAGUGUAGAGGUGAAAUUCGUAGAUAUUAGAAAGAAUACCAAUUGCGAAGGCAGCUUUCUGGAUCAUUACUGACACUGAGGAACGAAAGCAUGGGUAGCGAAGAGGAUUAGAUACCCUCGUAGUCCAUGCCGUAAACGAUGUGUGUUAGACGUUGGAAAUUUAUUUU